Molecule: long non-coding RNA, 482 nt
Organism: Cyanistes caeruleus (blue tit)
Lineage: Eukaryota; Metazoa; Chordata; Aves; Passeriformes; Paridae
Source: Ensembl
CUUAAGCUCCAUAGAACAUCUGGGUUUUCCCAGGUAUGACAUGGCUUAAAGUGCUUCUGUCAGACCUGUCUUUUUUAAGUUUUAUGUUUCUAUUUGCAUUGCAGUGAGACAUGAAAGUUUUUUCAAAAUGUUAGAAAUUUCCAUACAUAGAAAUUUUGGCCACUUCUCCAGGGAAGGACAGCAUUGCCUUUGCAGGUUGAAUUGACAGAGACACCAAAACAAUGAUUCAAGUUAAAUCACAGAAGACAGAGUUUAUCCAUUUGCAGAGAAUGUAAAAAGUUUUAGAUGUAUUCCCAAAGAAAAGUUUCCUGGCUUUCUAUGGUAUUUUGAAACACAUCCAAGCCAUAAUUGGAGCACCCAAGAGGCACCUGUUUGAGUAUGUGCUGCAGAGCUCAUACAGCAGCCAUGAAUGGCCUUCUACAAAAUGCUUAAAGAAAAUACAUAGGAGUUUGAAAUUAAAUUAUCCCAGAAUUCAACUCUGA